Molecule: ribosomal RNA, 465 nt
Filed under: Vreelandella stevensii
Lineage: Bacteria; Pseudomonadati; Pseudomonadota; Gammaproteobacteria; Oceanospirillales; Halomonadaceae
Description: partial 16S ribosomal RNA
Rfam family: Bacterial small subunit ribosomal RNA
Source: RNAcentral
CCUACGGGUGGCAGCAGUGGGGAAUAUUGGACAAUGGGGGGAACCCUGAUCCAGCCAUGCCGCGUGUGUGAAGAAGGCCCUCGGGUUGUAAAGCACUUUCAGUGAGGAAGAACGCCUGGUGGUUAAUACCCAUCAGGAAAGACAUCACUCACAGAAGAAGCACCGGCUAACUCCGUGCCAGCAGCCGCGGUAAUACGGAGGGUGCGAGCGUUAAUCGGAAUUACUGGGCGUAAAGCGCGCGUAGGUGGCUUGAUAAGCCGGUUGGGAAAGCCCCGGGCUCAACCUGGGAACGGCAUCCGGAACUGUCAAGCUAGAGUGCAGGAGAGGAAGGUAGAAUUCCCGGUGUGGCGGUGAAAUGCGUAGAGAUCGGGAGGAAUACCAGUGGCGAAGGCGGCCUUCUGGACUGACACUGACACUGAGGUGCGAAAGCGUGGGUAGCAAACAGGAUUAGAUACCCUGGUAGUC